This is a non-coding RNA of Brachypodium distachyon (stiff brome), 138 nucleotides long. The record is from Rfam. Lineage: Eukaryota; Viridiplantae; Streptophyta; Magnoliopsida; Poales; Poaceae.
GAGAUACUUCCUCCGUACAACAAAGAAUGUCUCAACUUUUACUAAAUUUGAAUGCAUUAUACACUAAGUCAUGUCUAGAUACAUCCAAAUUUUGAUAAAUUUGAGACAUUUUUUUUUGUUGGACGGAGGGAGUAGUUU